UACGUAGGGUGCGAGCGUUGUCCGGAAUUACUGGGCGUAAAGAGCUCGUAGGCGGCUUGUCGCGUCGACUGUGAAAUCCCGCGGCUCAACCGCGGGUCUGCAGUCGAUACGGGCAGGCUAGAGUUCGGUAGGGGAGACUGGAAUUCCUGGUGUAGCGGUGAAAUGCGCAGAUAUCAGGAGGAACACCGAUGGCGAAGGCAGGUCUCUGGGCCGAUACUGACGCUGAGGAGCGAAAGCGUGGGGAGCGAACAGG
This 253-nucleotide ribosomal RNA is filed under the name uncultured bacterium. Its description in RNAcentral is "partial 16S ribosomal RNA". It matches the Rfam family "Bacterial small subunit ribosomal RNA", at positions 524 to 776 of the family's 1533-position model. The record is from RNAcentral.